This 253-nucleotide ribosomal RNA is filed under the name uncultured bacterium. RNAcentral describes it as "partial 16S ribosomal RNA". It matches the Rfam family "Bacterial small subunit ribosomal RNA", at positions 524 to 776 of the family's 1533-position model. The record is from RNAcentral.
UACAGAGGGGGCAAGCGUUAUUCGGAAUUAUUGGGCGUAAAGGGCGCGUAGGCGGCCUGGCAAGUGACGGGUGAAAGCCCUCGGCUCAACCGAGGAACUGCCUGUCAUACUGCCGGGCUUGAGUCCGGGAGAGGUGAGUGGAAUUCCCAGUGUAGCGGUGAAAUGCGUAGAUAUCUGGAGGAACACCGGUGGCGAAGGCGGCAUCCUGGACCAACACUGACGCUGAGGAGCGAAAGCCAGGGGAGCAAACGGG